Non-coding RNA from Podospora didyma, 96 nucleotides. Lineage: Eukaryota; Fungi; Ascomycota; Sordariomycetes; Sordariales; Podosporaceae. The record is from the annotation of a GenBank genome assembly.
GCGUCUAUGGUCUAGUGGUUAGGAUUCAUCCCUUCCAACCCGAUUCGUUUCGGGUGAUGAUAGGAUGAGGGGGGGGUUCGAUUCCCUCUGGUCGCA